CAUAAUGGAUUAAUUAUAAGUAAAUGUGUAAUUAACACGAAAUUGAGUGAGCUAACUUUAAAAGUGACUAUGUUGCAUAAUAGGAAAGUAAUUAAAGUUAGGAGUGAAAGGCCUACCAAACUCAAUGAUAUCUUGAUUCUUUAGAGACGUAUUUAGUACAUAGACAUACUUAGAGUGAGAAGGUUUUAAGUAAUAAUUAAGUUUAAAUAUUAAGGUAUAUAGAUAUAAUAGUCUGUAUUAGUAAGUAUAAAUAUUUAUAUUGUGAAAUUAUUUAAAGUAUAAAGACGUUAAAUGACUAUAAUAAUGAUUGAUAAUGUUUAUAUAAGUAAUAAAUAGAUAUUAGUAGUGAAUUCGGCAUUAAGCUUUCAACUGUUUAUCAAAAACAUAGCCAGGUGAAUUACAUUUGGUAUUUUCUGCUCAAUGAGAUAUUAAAUAGCCGCAGUACCCUGACUGUGCAAAGGUAGCGCAAUCAAUUGUCUUCUAAUUAAAGUCACGUAUGAAAGAAUAUAUGGGGGCUUUCUUUACCAUUGAUAAUUUUCGAAAUUACUUAGUGAGUGCAAAUUCUCACUUGUAGCCAAUAGACGAGAAGACCCUAGAAAUUUUGAUUUGUAUUUUUGUUGGGGCAACAUAGUAACAUUAAAUUUACAGUAUGUAUAUGAAAUAAAUUAGACUAAUUAAAUUACUCUAGGGAUAACAGCAUAAUCCGUAAGUGUUUGUGACCUCGAUGUUGGAUUAGGGAUUUGUAGUUUAGAAGACUAACAAUUAUGCUCUGUUCGCGCAAGUAUCCCUAC
This 791-nucleotide ribosomal RNA is filed under the name Youwanjela wilsoni. Its description in RNAcentral is "partial 16S ribosomal RNA". The stretch from base 354 to 518 matches the Rfam family "Archaeal large subunit ribosomal RNA", at positions 1876 to 2091 of the family's 2987-position model. Lineage: Eukaryota; Metazoa; Mollusca; Gastropoda; Stylommatophora; Camaenidae. The record is from RNAcentral.